AAGAAAGAAGAAGAAGAAGAAGAAGAAGAAGAAGAAGAAGAAGAAGAAGAAGAAGAAGAGAAAGAAAAUUGGGGCUUUUAGGGUUCUUGCUUUAAUCUUGUCAUUUCGGGUCAAAAUUUCCAAAGGAUAGCGUAUCGCCUGCUUAAAUGUUAAGAAUGGGCUGAGGCAGUGGAAAGUUUAGAAGACGUUGGGCAGAACUUUUGUUAGCAUAUAUGUAGUUGUGUAUAAGCUACGUUGCAUCUAAUGAAAUGUGACUAUGAAUCUAAACCUGUGGAUUUUGUGUAAGUUAAAGGAUCCCUCAUGUAUAGGGUUUUGGAAUGUUAAAUUAAAUUCGUGUAAUGAUAUGAACUUAUGGUAAAUCGAUGAUUGUGGUGACUGCAUAGAUUUCCCCACUUGUGGAUUUA
Molecule: long non-coding RNA, 404 nt
Organism: Musa acuminata AAA Group (dessert banana)
Lineage: Eukaryota; Viridiplantae; Streptophyta; Magnoliopsida; Zingiberales; Musaceae
Exons: 2
Source: RefSeq, a predicted model, not a curated record